GUUCUUUUCAAGGCAGCCCUUUCAUUCCCUUCUGAUAAGCACUCCCUCCUUUCCUCCCUUCAGGCUUAGGGAUGUUAACUGCCCUGCGGCUGCCAACCCCAGAUAGGAUUGAAGAGGAGUAGAAGAAAGAUAACAGAUUCCAGGGCCUAGCAAAUGUCCAGCACAGCAGCUGCUCCAUAAACAUUUGCUCAACAUAACUGAAUUGAGGUAAGAAAGUAACUACAAGAUCCAGCAGAAAAUAGAAAGUGACACAAAGGGACUGACAUGUCCUGCUAUUGCUGUCUACAUCAGUCCUUGAGUUGAAAUAGGGGCAGAAGAUGGAAAAAGUGGGGGAAAAUGUGAAAGAAAUGAAGAGAGAUGAAAGGAAAGACAUUAAAAAUAGAACAAGGGGACCAGUGGUAAAAUGAAGAAAAUCCAAAGGGUAAAAACCAGUAGAAACUUGC
RNAcentral lists this long non-coding RNA (443 nucleotides) under Equus asinus (donkey). Its description in RNAcentral is "lncRNA (ENSEASG00005028177.1, ENSEASG00020005317.1)". The record is from RNAcentral. Lineage: Eukaryota; Metazoa; Chordata; Mammalia; Perissodactyla; Equidae.